This 395-nucleotide RNase P RNA is filed under the name Muribaculaceae bacterium. RNAcentral describes it as "RNase P RNA component class A". It matches the Rfam family "Bacterial RNase P class A". From Rfam's summary of the family: Ribonuclease P (RNase P) is a ubiquitous endoribonuclease, found in archaea, bacteria and eukarya as well as chloroplasts and mitochondria. The record is from RNAcentral. Lineage: Bacteria; Pseudomonadati; Bacteroidota; Bacteroidia; Bacteroidales; Muribaculaceae.
GCAGAAGAGAGGUCUGUCGCUUCAUGCCGGGUGCAUGAAGAGGAAAGUCCGGGCAACGCAGAGCACCAUACUUGGUAACGUCAAGCCGGCGGCAACGUCGGGGUAAAUGUGACAGAAAACAACCGCCUGUCAGAUCGCAGACUUGCAGGUAAGGGUGAAAAGGUGGAGUAAGAGCCCACCGGAUGCCGUGGUGACACGACAUGCCGCACAUCCUAUGGGUUGCAAGGCCAAAUACACCGGCAACUAAGGGCUGCUCGUCCAUUGCCGGGGGGUAGGCUGCUCGGCGCUUCGGCGUCGGAGCCAUCUGGCGACAGAUGGUCAAGAUAAAUGACAGACAGGAUUUUUCUUGCACAAGAAAAUUCCUACAUAACCCGGCUUAUAUCUCUUCUGCACUU